UUCUGUUGUUAAGAGUUCUUUGUGGUUUGGAAUGAUACACAGAAGAUUAGCAUGGCCCCUGCUCAAGGCUGACAUGCAAAAUCGUGAAGCAUUCCAUAUUUUU
This 103-nucleotide small nuclear RNA is filed under the name Chinchilla lanigera (long-tailed chinchilla). Lineage: Eukaryota; Metazoa; Chordata; Mammalia; Rodentia; Chinchillidae. The record is from RNAcentral.